Molecule: long non-coding RNA, 1887 nt
Organism: Phymastichus coffea
Lineage: Eukaryota; Metazoa; Arthropoda; Insecta; Hymenoptera; Eulophidae
Exons: 2
Source: RefSeq, a predicted model, not a curated record
AAGAGGUGGUCCGAUGCCAGUCCCGAACUGAAGAGCAAAUACGAAGCUAUGGCUGAGAAGGACAAGGCUCGAUACGAAAGAGAAAUGACUGCGUACAAAAAAAAGAUGAAGGACGGCCCAGGAGUUGGAGCACCGGCAGCGGCCAAGAAAGCUGAAAGCGAGGAGGAGUGGGAAGAUGAAGACGAAUAGCAAGGAGAGUAACGAUUAGCCGGACGCACGUCAAAAAUCUCAUCUAUCACCCCGUGUCCUUGAUCCCGAUGCAUACCUCACCUACUGUACAUACCAUUGACCUUAGCGUGAGCGUACUUACACCACUAGGAGAACAAAUAACUAACCACCAGUCCCCCCAGACUGUUUUCACAAUAAUUAUUAAAAAACAAAAUGAGGAAUCAACAACUACAACAACCGCGAUUAUAAUAAUUAUUUUAAAGAAAAAAAAUUGUAUGUGUGAGUGAUUUAUGAUAAUGAUGAUUACGCGAGAGGAGAUGCGUUAGUUGUAUGAGUGACAUUUGUAUUUUAACAUAUUGAUAGUAAAACAUGUAAAGUGGCAUAAGAUAGCGAAAGGAUUAAACAAGAAAAAAAAUAAUAAAAAUGAAACAUUUGACGAGAGGUAGAGAGAAAAAAUAAGAGAUGGUGCCCACUUUUCUGUCUUGGGGUGGAAGGCGCAGGGGCUCAAUUAUCGCUGACUUUGUCUCCACUCUAUGUUUACAAAAAAAGUAAUAAAACUAUGAAAUCAUUUGAUUUAGUUAUUAAUAUGAGUAAUGAUAAAUGAAAAAAAAUAAAUAAAAGCAGAAAAUAAUGGAAGGGAUAUAUGUAUUGAUCGAUGAAGUACGUUCCUGCACUUCCAAAGGAAUAAAACUCGAGGAACGUUGUCAGUUCAGUUCAUUCGGUGCCAGCAUAGUUUGCGGUUUAAUAUUAUUAACGAUGAAGGAGCAGUUUUUUUGUAAUUACUCGACAUUUUGUACAGUAUACCUCUUAUUCUUUAAAUAAUUCUCAUGCUCGGAUCGGCGGCUGAGUGAAUCGCGCAGGUGGAGAGAUAGUGGCUUUACCAUUUUUUCCUUUUUGUUUUUUUUUUUUUUAAUUUUUAUUUUAUUUGCGAUUCUAAACGAGGAGUGUGUCGAUACGCUGCACCUCGCUGUACCUGUGUAAUUUAUAUCGAUGUUGUGUAAAACCACUGACGGUACGACUUGAUCUCGAUCGCGAGCGUUACAAUGCGAUCCUAUGUAUAUUGCAUAUAUAUACAUUGAGUCGCAGUAACAUUGUGCAACGCGCGUGAUGGAGCCUAGAGUUUAAUUAGCCUGCGAAUGCGGUUUAGCGAGCGAAAAGAAAGUCGAGUGAAACUUUCUUUGAAAUCAAAACGAAAAAUAUUAACAAUUUUUUUUUCGAAAUUUUGUUUGCUCCACGGCCGAUGAGCAAAUGAGUACUUCUCUCGAUGAUGUAUUGCACAGAAGUGAGGGAAACGAGUAAAAAAAGGAUUUAAAGUGAGAUGAAGGGUGGCUGUUGUGCGUACAUAACGUAAAUCAUUGUUAUUCCACUCCUCUCAAAUGUAAUAUGCUGUUUAUCGUUGGAACGGGGAUUAUAGAGUGCUUGAGCCUGUUUUAUCAAACUGUAUUACACUCUCGAUUCGUAAAAAUUCAUUCUUUUUUUAUUAUUAUCCAGCGUCUAUUGCGAUACAAGAUUAUCAAUGUAAUAUUUGAAUUCUCUUUCUUUUUUUAAUUCGACUGACGAAUAGCUUCUGAUUUGUAUUGCGAUCUACUACUGGCGCUAUUUAUGUUUGAUUUAAUUAAUCAAAGAGAUCAUCGGUCCCUGCCCCUUACCAUCGUUAUAUCCCCUUCUUACAAACAUUCAUUUUUGUCAAUAAAAACGAUAUUUCUUAAAAACGACAAA